This is a long non-coding RNA of Drosophila busckii, 1379 nucleotides long. RefSeq lists it as uncharacterized. Lineage: Eukaryota; Metazoa; Arthropoda; Insecta; Diptera; Drosophilidae. The record is from RefSeq and is a predicted model, not a curated record. The transcript has 3 exons.
AGACUGCAGUUGUCUCUCUGCCUUUCAAGAUGGCUGCGCCACAGUGUUUCACUCAAUGCUCUCAGAGCGCACGAAAACACAGACUGCGCUUACCGUUGCUUUUCAUGCAUUGAAAAAAUUCCAUUCAAGCAAGAACAGUUGGCAAAAACUAAUUGAAAGUGCAAGUUGUGUUUGUUUGUGGGCUAGACAUUAUAAAUAAUAUUUGGUAGCUCAUAAAGAUAAAUUAUGAUUUACUGUGUUCAACGUGGUAACAACAGCAAAUCUGCAUUCAAAAACAAUAAAGCAAGCAUUUAAGUAUUGAGUAUUAAAUAAAUGCAAGGGAACACAUGGUAAGAAUUGAGCGCUCUCUUGUUCUAGCUUGCUGCGCCGCUGUGUUUCACUCAAUGUUCUGAGAGCGCGCGUAUGCAGCGACUGCGUUUACCGUUGCUUUUCAUGCAUUGAAAAAAUUCCAUUCAAGCAAGAACAGUUGGCAAAAACGAAUUGAAAGUGCAAAUUAUGUUUGUUCACGCGCAAGAUAUUACAAAUUCUAAUUGGCAACCAAUUAAAAUAGAGGAUGAUCCACUGUACUCAACGUUUAUUAAUAACAGCAAGUCUGCCUGCAAACAGUAACGCAAAUAUUUAGCAGAUGGCUGCGCCGCUGUGUCUCACUCAAUGUUCUGAGAGCGCACGUAUACACAACCUGCGUUUGCCGUUGCUUUUCAUGCAUCGAAAAAAUUCCAUUCAAGCAAGCACAGUUAGCAAAAACUAAUUGAAAGCGAAAGUCGUGUUUGUUCACGUGCAAGACAUUAAAAAUUCUAUUUGGAAGCUCAUUAAAAUAAAUGAUGAUCAACUGUGCUCAACGCGUGUAAACAGCAGCAAGUCUGCCAACAGAAACAACAACGAAGCAAACAUUGUUGAAAGCAAAGUGCACAAUAAUGAAAAGCGCCAACAAAAGGGCAACGGGUGCUGGUGUGGAGCAUACAAGGAGGAACAGAGUGGUACAAUUUUGGACACAAUGCCAAAACUGCAGUUGACUUUAUUAAAAUGCGCAACGUAAAUGUCUCGCAAAGCAGGACACGGCUAACGUUUUGUCCUUGCCGUGGGCUGGGCAUGAAUGACAUUCCCUCCGCUGGAGCAUAUACACUUUGUUGCCGUCUGCGUCUGCCACGUGUGUUGUUCCUGUUUAGAGGUUGAGCUAAGCGCCUGCGGUUGCCAUCGAGUCAAGUCUGGGAUUUGGAAUGCGCGAGCAUAAACAUGGGCGUCGCAACGAUUUAAUUCAGGGAGAAGGCGACAGCAGUUCCUACAACGGCGCUGAACUGGACUGGAACUGCCGGCGGCAAUAGCAACUAGUCCUACUCCUUCAUUAAGAGCCGCUCUAACCAGAGCUGCUAUUUAAAGGA